Molecule: long non-coding RNA, 582 nt
Organism: Papaver somniferum (opium poppy)
Lineage: Eukaryota; Viridiplantae; Streptophyta; Magnoliopsida; Ranunculales; Papaveraceae
Exons: 5
Source: RefSeq, a predicted model, not a curated record
UCUUCUCUUUCUCUUUCUCUUAUCUUCUCAUUGCCUCCCCUGAAGAGAUUGGGGUUUCAGUCAAAUAGAUUAGAGAUUAUAGUUUGACAACAGUUUCGAUCAUUUAUUUUCAGAUGCAGAUGUGAAUGAAGUUGAUAAGUUGACUGAGAAGCUACAAGGGGUUGGGAUUGCUUCUGCUAGUGCUGAUGGUGCCGUCCUAACAACUUCUAAAGGAACUCCUAGCUUCCGUGGACAGGGAAGAUGUAAUGGUGAGAGGAGAAGGAAGUCUGUCCGUGGGUGCAUCGUGAGCCAAGAGAUGUCUGUGCUGAACUUGGUUUUCUUGAAGAAGGGAAAGAAUGAUCCACCUGGGUUGACUGAUAUGGAGCAUGGGUACUGAGGCAGCAGUAAUGUGAACAGAAUGUGGAAAAGAGGAGAUCCUUCUAGAUUCAUUACUCAUGGGGGUAAUUUCUUAUCAAGUAUAAAGGAUAUCGAGAAUCGGUUUUUCAGAGCUUCUGAAUGUGGAAAAGAGGUGUCCAGAAUGCUUGAAACUAACAAAGUUGUGUCCAAAUUUUCUGAUGGUAAAGAACCUCCAAAACAGGUGAC